This 102-nucleotide non-coding RNA is filed under the name Andreesenella formicacetica. RNAcentral describes it as "Clostridium formicaceticum Guanine sequence". It matches the Rfam family "Purine riboswitch aptamer". From Rfam's summary of the family: Riboswitches are metabolite binding domains within certain messenger RNAs that serve as precision sensors for their corresponding targets. Allosteric rearrangement of mRNA structure is mediated by ligand binding, and this results in modulation of gene expression. Lineage: Bacteria; Bacillati; Bacillota; Clostridia; Peptostreptococcales; Natronincolaceae. The record is from RNAcentral.
AAGUCUCAUUUUAUAAAUUCUCGUAUAAUUUUGGAGAUAGGGUCCAACAGUUUCUACCAGACUACCGUAAAUGGUCUGACUACGGGAGAUUUGUUUUGGUGU